This 1341-nucleotide long non-coding RNA is filed under the name Homo sapiens (human). Its description in RNAcentral is "HSALNT0328072". Lineage: Eukaryota; Metazoa; Chordata; Mammalia; Primates; Hominidae. The record is from RNAcentral.
CCUUCCGUGCCGCUUCACUCCCCGAGGAAAAGAUUUGGUGGCCAAGUCAGCGGAUCCAACCCGCGACCACCAGCGACCUACUGGCUGCGUCUUUGUCCAGCGUCCACACUGCGCUGGCAGAGACUGUCGGGUGCACCCUGAGGACGAGGCGUGGCUCAGGAUGUGUCGGGGAGCUGUCUUGCAUUUUUUUCUUGCUGUGCAUCUCGAAUUUUCUUUAGGGUGGGAAAGGACACCUCAAAAACACUGUUGACAUCACGGUUUCAGAAAAUUGCGCCAUGUUUGUUACCCUUUUCAUGCUGAAGACUCCAGACUGCUGCAGAAGAGGCAGAAUUCUGGAGAGAAAUCCUUGGGGGACCGAGGACGAGGGUUGGAGGGGGUUGUCUCACCCUUCCUGUUUUUAGGUGAGGGAAGUGAGCCACCUAGAGUCAGGCCCCAGGAAAUGUUUUCCCUGGCUCGAGGAGUCAAGGGAGUCAACAAAUUGUAAUCUAACUUAUUUUGGUUUGAAAAUUAACUGAGUCAUUGGUAGUCACCAUUGGACUCUAUGGAAUAUUAGCUUAUUAAAUAAACUCAUGACUUCAUACAUGAUUUUUAUCACAAAUGUGUUAAAUGAGUAUCAUAAUGUGUUUGAAUUUAUGUAUGACUUUGGCAAAAGCCGCAACUACUUUUGCACCAACCUAAUUAAUGAAUGUAAAGCAUUUUAAUGAGUCUGAUGUCUCUCAGUGUUGAUAUUAGAGACGUUGCACUUUGACAACCAUGCUAACUGUUACGACAAUAUCCAUUUUAGGCACAAAUAGCUGGGGUGCAGGGUGCAGAGCAGUGCUUUUCAGAAUGUCUGAAUAUUUAUACAUUAGAAAGCCUUUGAAGCUUGGUUUUAAAUUGUUUUUCAAAGAGUAUGUUUUUGGUUUUCUGGUAAGUGCCUCUGCAAAGGUUAGGAGUUUUGCAUUGCAAUAGUUUUCUUUUAUUAGCAGGGAUAGGCACUGUGCUUCCCAGCGCCACAAAAAAAAACUGCAGGAGAAGACUUUUUUAAAAAGUUUGUCUGAAUUGUUCUGUGUGUUGUUGCCCUCAUGACACCCCUGUCUGUAACCAUUUAUCACUGAGACGUUCUCUCAUCAGCAGACAAAGGAUAUAUUCCCUGCUUGAUAUGUAGGACUUCGGCUGCUUAGCCCUCAUGAAUGUUAAUGGGAAUACAACCUUCUUUCUGUCUAUAGGUUACUUUUCUUAUUUUAAUGUCAAUAGACAGCGGAAUUAAUGUGAGAGCCAAAGUGAUAGAUUUCAAGCACUUCUAUAGGACCGAUACCUGUAUCCUUCAUAUAAAUAACUUUCUCAAAGAUAUCUGCAUGC